This 770-nucleotide long non-coding RNA is filed under the name Homo sapiens (human). RNAcentral describes it as "long non-coding RNA NONHSAT198320.1". Lineage: Eukaryota; Metazoa; Chordata; Mammalia; Primates; Hominidae. The record is from RNAcentral.
UACCUAACAUUUGGAAGGCAGAAGUAAGUUGGAGGUGAUUUUCCUGCUGCUCUAGGCUGUUUUGUGGACUCAUAUGUCCCCCCGCUGCAGUAUGCUUGUUUUAAGUAUCCUGCCUUGGAGCUAUCACGUGACAUUGCAGAUGCAGAUCUCUCAUCUGAACCCUGUUUCUGGGUACUUGCUGUUCCUGCUGGUGAUAGAAGUGAUCUUUCAUGUAUCAGUAAUGGCCUCUGGCCUUGAAGUCCUCUGUGGCAGACAGAACAGUGGCCUUUUGAAGAUGUCCAUGUCUAUUCCCUAGAAACAGUUCUGGAGGCUGGGAAGUUCAAAAGCAUGGUGCUGGCAUCCUGCCUGGCAUCUCAGCCCCUAAAAUGGUUUCUGUGGUCCUCAGUCACCAAGCCCUGUGGGGUGAACCUGUGCCAGCAUGCCUCAUUUCUUUAUACCAGCAGACGUUGAGUCUCCCUGAGCAAGGUCUCCUUUGAGCCAGCUGAAACAGAGCUGCUGAAGUCCCCUUGGAAGCGAUCAGCAGGCAAGCCCAAAGAAGUAGUUCCAUCUAUUGCAAGCAAGGCUGGGAUUCCCUGGACUACAGCAGAUGACCACACUUUUGAUUGUUAUCAGUUCUGGAGGCUGAAAGGUCCUGGAUAGGGAUGUUGGUAGGGUUGAUUUCUUCUAAGGCCUCUCUGCUUGUAGAUGGCUACCCUCUCCUUCCUGUGUCUUUACAGGAUCUUCCCUCUGUCUGUGCCCAAAUUAUAUCUUCUUAUAAGAACACCAGUCAU